Molecule: ribosomal RNA, 253 nt
Filed under: uncultured bacterium
Lineage: Bacteria
Description: partial 16S ribosomal RNA
Rfam family: Bacterial small subunit ribosomal RNA
Source: RNAcentral
UACGGAGGGAGCUAGCGUUGUUCGGAAUUACUGGGCGUAAAGCGCACGUAGGCGGCUUUGUAAGUUAGAGGUGAAAGCCCGGGGCUCAACCCCGGAAUUGCCUUUAAGACUGCAUCGCUUGAAUCCAGGAGAGGUGAGUGGAAUUCCGAGUGUAGAGGUGAAAUUCGUAGAUAUUCGGAAGAACACCAGUGGCGAAGGCGGCUCACUGGACUGGUAUUGACGCUGAGGCGCGAAAGUGUGGGGAGCGAACAGG